GACGAACCGUGCGAACGUUAUUCGGAAUCACUGGGCUUAAAGCGCGUGUAGGCGGGCCGCCGCGUCGGUUGCUGAAAGCCCCCGGCUCAACCGGGGAACGGGCACCGAUACGGGCGGCCUGGAGGGGAGUAGGGGGACCUGGAACUUCCGGUGGAGCGGUGAAAUGCGUUGAGAUCGGAAGGAACGCCCGUGGCGAAAGCGAGGUCCUGGGCUCCUGCUGACGCUGAGACGCGAAAGCCAGGGGAGCGAACGGG
Molecule: ribosomal RNA, 254 nt
Filed under: uncultured bacterium
Lineage: Bacteria
Description: partial 16S ribosomal RNA
Rfam family: Bacterial small subunit ribosomal RNA
Source: RNAcentral